GCCGGGAUAGCUCAGUCGGUAGAGCACGAGGAUUGAAAAUCCUCGUGUCACC
This 52-nucleotide transfer RNA is filed under the name Pleurozia gigantea. RNAcentral's name for it is "partial tRNA-Phe". The record is from RNAcentral. Lineage: Eukaryota; Viridiplantae; Streptophyta; Jungermanniopsida; Pleuroziales; Pleuroziaceae.